AUGUAAUUGUUAUGUUACCUAGAUCAUAGAGAUGAACUAAAGUUCUGCCAUGCACCCUGCUAGGUCCGUCCUUCCUACCACACUGGAAGGAACACCAGAGCCUUUCAGCGAGAAACACUAGACAGUCCACAGAGAAAUGGUGCAGAAUCAUAAUCAGGUGCCUGUUUUCAAGCACUUCAAAGCCUUUUCCAAAAUCAGUGAAAAUAUUCCGGCUCAUUGGAAGAGAAUUGCAACAAAGCCCUACAAUGGAAAGAAACAGAGGAAUUCAAGGUAAGCUCUCAUGGCAGAGGUUCAAAUUAGAUUCUGGACAUGAAACAUCGAAACAUCGUGUCUGGAAGCAUUCCUAGUAUGCUGAAACACCUGGUGUUUUAUGCCCAGAUAUAUUAACUAUAUUGCAAAAAAAUUCAAGGCCAUGUUGUCAGGGUGUUGAAAGUCUUUGGAUAGAGAAAAGGAACUCCAU
Molecule: long non-coding RNA, 460 nt
Filed under: Cyanistes caeruleus (blue tit)
Lineage: Eukaryota; Metazoa; Chordata; Aves; Passeriformes; Paridae
Description: lncRNA (ENSCCEG00000014464.1)
Source: RNAcentral